GAUUGCUCAGUAACACGUGGACAACCUGCCCUGAGGACUGGAAUAAUCCCGGGAAACUGGGGGUAAUUCCAGAUAUGUCAGAACUCCUGGAAUGGGUUCUGGCAGAAAGGCUCCGGCGCCUCAGGAUGGGUCUGCGGCCUAUCAGGGUAGUAGUGGGUGUAACGUACCUACUAGCCUACGACGGGUACGGGUUGUGAGAGCAAGAGCCCGGAGAUGGAUUCUGAGACAUGAAUCCAGGCCCUACGGGGUGCAGCAGGCGCGAAAACUUUACAAUGCGGGCAACCGCGAUAAGGGGACCUCGAGUGCUGGGUUACAAACCUGGCUGUUGGGCUGCCUAAAAAGCAGUCUAUAGCAAGGGCCGGGCAAGACCGGUGCCAGCCGCCGCGGUAACACCGGCGGCUCGAGUGGUAACCGCUGUUAUUGGGUCUAAAGGGUCUGUAGCCUGCCGGCUAAGUCUCUUGGGAAAUCUGGCAUCUCAAGUGUCAGGCUGCCAGGGGAUACUGGUCAGCUUGGGACCGGGAGAGGUGAGAGGUACCUCAGGGGUAGGGGUGAAAUCUUGUAAUCCUUGAGGGACCACCAGUGGCGAAGGCGUCUCACCAGAACGGAUCCAACGGCAAGGGACGAAAGCUAGGGGCACGAACCGGAUUAGAUACCCGGGUAGUCCUAGCCGUAAACGAUACUCGCUAGGUGUCGGCCACGGUGCGACCGUGGUCGGUGCCGUAGGGAAGCCGUGAAGCGAGCCACCUGGGAAGUACGGCCGCAAGGCUGAAACUUAAAGGAAUUGGCGGGG
Molecule: ribosomal RNA, 790 nt
Filed under: uncultured Methanosaeta sp.
Lineage: Archaea; Methanobacteriati; Methanobacteriota; Methanomicrobia; Methanotrichales; Methanotrichaceae
Description: bacterial SSU rRNA
Rfam family: Archaeal small subunit ribosomal RNA
Source: RNAcentral